RNAcentral lists this ribosomal RNA (468 nucleotides) under uncultured bacterium. RNAcentral's name for it is "partial 16S ribosomal RNA". It matches the Rfam family "Bacterial small subunit ribosomal RNA", at positions 28 to 507 of the family's 1533-position model. The record is from RNAcentral.
GACGAACGCUGGCGGCGUGCUUAACACAUGCAAGUCGAACGGAAAGGCCCUGCUUUUGUGGGGUGCUCGAGUGGCGAACGGGUGAGUAACACGUGAGUAACCUGCCCUUGACUUUGGGAUAACUUCAGGAAACUGGUGCUAAUACCGGAUAGGAGCUCCUGCUGCAUGGUGGGGGUUGGAAAGUUUCGGCGGUUGGGGAUGGACUCGCGGCUUAUCAGCUUGUUGGUGGGGUAGUGGCUUACCAAGGCUUUUACGGGUAGCCGGCCUGAGAGGGUGACCGGCCACAUUGGGACUGAGAUACGGCGCAGACUCCAACGGGAGGCAGCAGUGGGGAAUAUUGCACAAUGGGCGGAAGCCUGAUGCAGCAACGCCGCGUGCGGGAUGACGGCCUACGGGUUGUAAACCGCUUGCGCCUGUGACGAAGGGUGAGUGACGGUAAUGGGUAAAGAAGCACCGGCUAACUACGUG